UAGCCUAAUAGAUAAGGUACUAGCCUCUUAAGUCAGGGAUUGUGGGUUCAAGUCCUAC
Molecule: transfer RNA, 58 nt
Filed under: Alligator mississippiensis (American alligator)
Lineage: Eukaryota; Metazoa; Chordata; Crocodylia; Alligatoridae
Rfam family: tRNA
About the family: Transfer RNA (tRNA) molecules are approximately 80 nucleotides in length. Their secondary structure includes four short double-helical elements and three loops (D, anti-codon, and T loops).
Source: Rfam by way of RNAcentral